GCAGUGGGACUGCUCGUGCUGUUCAAGUUGAGCAUGUGCCGGAGUGUCUUCAGGAGUCAGACCACUGUGUGUAAAGUUCCUCUCAAAUGAUCCAGGAAGAGGUGAGGUAAAGGACAGUGCCCUAGAGUUGUGUGAGUCCCACUUUAGCAGAGAGGAGAAGAGACCUAUCUGUGGGGGGCCUUUUCUCACAUAGAUCUACACAAGUUGCAUUUUAAGAAAAAACAUAGGAGCUACAACAAAAUGAAAGAGAGAAAAGAAGCACACACAGAGAGAGAAAGAGAGCUCCAGCAAGUGGCUAAUAUAAACUGGAAUAACAGAAAGAAGACUGGUGGAAACUCCUUAGAACAAAAAGGCUGAACUAGGGGAGAAGGACUGAACCCAAGCUAGAGGGCUGUCUUGCCUGUGAAAGGAAUACCUGGAGUUUUAAGCUGAAAACAAGUGAAGCUUCCCUCCAGAAUCUCUACAAUCUGCCUAAAACACCAUUUAGGUGCAGAAUAUGCAAUAAUGAUCUGCUGUGCAGACUGAAGACAGAAUUUUCCUCUCAAACAUUGCAAUCUAAUCUGUGCUGAAGUCUCCAGAGGGAUGCAAGAGAUGGCCUGGGAACAGGUAACACUUGAGUGAUGGAGGAAGUGGGGAAUUUGGGGAGAUGGGGAGAGAAAUGGGGUACUGGGAUAUUAAUGGAGGGAAAGGGUCCCCCAAAAUGGAGGGACAUAGGAAGAAGUGGCAGCCUGUAACUUCCACCCGGAGGAGAGCCAAAGAAGAGGAAAGGUCCAUUGUCUCCCACCAAACUGUUCUCUAUGAACAUGAUGGACCCAGAGAGCAUAGCAGGAAACAGGAGUGUCUGCAGAGGGGAAUGUAAGGGAUUGAGGAAAAAAAUUGUGUGUUUAUGAGGGGACCAUUGGAGGAAAUGUGGAAGUCUGGUGCUGAUGGAAACUAUUAUACUCUGCUGCUGCAGGGUUCUCUGCCUUGUAGUGACAUGUUGAGAGGAAAAAAAUGAAAAGAGUCUAGUGUCUUUAAUCAUCAGUUUAAUCUGUUUUGAGAGUACAAACACUAUUAUGCACUAAUCAUAGUUAUAUGGUUAUUUUGCAUGGUGUCACUACAUGGCAGAUUUAAGGCUGUUUGAGUGCCUUAACUGUGCUUUCUGUUAAGUGUAACCUAAACUCUGAAUUUCCAUGGGCUUUAAUGCUUGUUUGUGGGAUAAUUGCAACAUCCCUGUCAAGUUUUUACCCUCAAUUUACUGAUCUGUACUGAACCUUAACUCCACUUUAACACAGUUUUUAUUUGGAAAUUAAUAUUAGUCUCAUCCGCUGCAGUGGCUGCUGGCACAAUGAUUGCAAACAAGGGGUUUUAAGCUGGGAAUCUGUGUCUCCUGAUGUCCAGGUGAAAAGAGAAAAACCUGCUUAUAAUAAAACUACAGAGACAAAAGUAUCAAUUGGAAUACUACCAAUAUCAUGUGUGUACAGCAGAUGGUUAAACAGUAGUACAAGGUUAAAGUCUGAUAAUUCUGUUUUAUGAUUAGCUAUUUGUCUGCCACCUCUUUGAUGUGAAAGUGGUACAGCGAGUACUCAAUUUACAUACUGUACUAUAUAUCCAAAUAUAAAUGAUACAUUAGUCUUCAAUUUAGCCCUAUUUCAAUUGAUUACCAUAUCUUCCAUUUGCCAUGUUUAUCAGCACUGUAAAUAUUUAUAACUUUUGCUGAGUUUGAGGAUUUGUUGUACCAAGCAACACAUCAGUCAAGUAGCUGAGUUACAUUUUCCUGAUUUAUAAUUGAUAUUUUAAUGUCCAUCAUUUGACCUCUGUCAUAGUAUUAUUUAAUUUGUUUUUCCAAUAUUGAUCUUCAAGCUGGAAUUGGAACAUAUGAGGCCAAACCUAAGAUAAGGGAGAAUGAUUUAUUUUCCAUUUUGCUUUUAUUUUUUGAAAAAUAAUGUAUAUUAUGAAAGGGAAAAUCCAGUGUCAUUUGUUUUAGCAACUGAAAGUGACUGCUGAAUAGUUGGGCAGGAGGGGUUGAAUCCCCUCUACACUGGAGGCAUUCUGCACCCAUGUGCGAGGACCAGAAACAGUCAGCUACACAAAGGAGUAGCAGCAAAGGAGAUCACCUAGGGUUUCCAAUCCUCCAGGAUUGUCCUAGAGUCUCCAGGAAUUAAAGAUUAAUCUUUAAUUAAAGGUUAUGUCAUGUGAUGAAACCUCCAGGAAUACGUCCAAUCAAAAUUGGCAACCCUAUUAUCAUCCCUGUGACACAGAGAUCUUCACAGCACCACCGAUGAUGGAAGUGGGAUUGUGGUUGAGCAGGCAGCCUGUCUGAUAGUGACUAGGGUCUCUGUCAUGCUGCCCCAGUGAUUUUCCUCACAGAGAAAAGCCCUUUUACAUGCUCCUUCCCCAGGAUUAAGCCUUAGAUAGUGGGAAUUUUCAUGACUGAGAACUUCCUUUGCAGAUUGUUUUAUGUAUGUAUGCCAUCUAUUACCUUCCAUCUGUGCAUGUGGACUGAGAACCAGAUAUGGCAUAAGAGAGCAUGGUGACCUCAGAAAAGUGGUUCCCCUAUUUCUCACCUCAGCUUCCACUCUGAGUCCAAAUUCUUUCUGCUCACAGUCAUUUAUCUUAUCUGCUUCCUGGCUUUCUCCUCAGUCACAACCCAUCCUUUUUCUUCCUUACAAAACCUUUCUUUACCUCCAGGCCUUGUAAUUAGACCAGAGGCAGUUGAGAGUGGUUGCAGGGCCUGAUAGGUUUAAAGUACCAAACACUUCUCCUAAUUAAACACACUGAACCAGAUUCAUUGCUUUGAAGUUAGUGGAAUUACAUCAAUGAUUAAUUUGGUCCUAGCAAGGUACAGAAGGUGAGGGGAUGGGGGUCGGGGACUCUCUACUUACUUUCUGGUUUUAUUGAAAAUCUCUUCAGGAAAAUUAUUGAAGUUGGGGCAAUUAUGAAUAUCAGAUUAAUUGAAUAGGGAAACCACAGAACAGAUGCAAUUUUCUGUACUGAUGGCUUUUCUAUUUAAGGGAUAUGCAACCUUUUGUGGAUUGGGUUCACCCAAUUGAUUUUUUUUGUAGAUUAAGCUAAUAGAUGGUAGCAUAACUAAAAAGUGUGAUGGCUAUCUACAUUGCAUAUAGAUCUUCUGGCUUUUACCCUAUCCACAAUGCUUAUUACCAUUUGCUCUGGUAAAAGAAAAGAAGAUUGAACAUAAAAAGCUGAAGGUCAUCCAUACAGUUGUCCCAAUAGCAAUCUGUGUGACUUUAACCCUGUUGAAGAAAAGUAAUUAACCUUUGGCUUCUGAUGACCUCAACUAACCUUUGUUGAAGGGCCAGAGAAAAUAAAGGCUGACCAACAGCCUGCCCUUACUGCCCUGUGAUUAACCUGCCCUGUGAAUGAAGAACACCCCCAACAAUAGAAUGUCAAAAUGUUGCCAUGGAAAUAUUGUUGGAAGAAGAAACAAAAAUUUAUUACAAUUAAUAGUGGUUUAUAGGAUGACUCCCAUAGAACUAUUUAAUCCAUGAAAGUUGCUCUAUUUUAAGAUCUGGGGUCAAAAAAUUGAGCAGGAGUAAAAGAAAGAGGGAGGGUUUGCCUCUUUAAACAUUUGAGGGCUGUUGACAGAGCAGGGAUGGUUUGCGCAAAAUAAAAGAAUCAGUUAUAGCUUGCACCAUAUAAACAUGGAAAAUGAAAACACAGAAUAACUACAAUAUAGUAACUAUGAAUGAUUGGCACUGACUAUCCAAUUGGCCAGGAAGUAUAAUGGUAUACAUGCAUUUUGCUUUUGUUAUAUGGCAAGUUAUAAGUGCCAUGUAUCUUUUAAUAUUGUUCACACUGUGGUCUUUGCUCAGAGCACACUUGGAUUAUUUGGAAAAUGUAGGUAAUAUUUGUAUAUUUGGGACUUUCAAAAUUGGGUAGUACAAAUACUUUACUUUGCUUUUCUUUUUUUUAAAUACUCAUACAUAACAUUAAAUAAAAUACAGUUCUGUUAAAUGUACUGGUUUACCUAUGUUUGUUUUGGGCCUGAUCUUGUGCUACUCAGCUCCCCAGCUCCCCAACUCUAUUAGAUUCAAUGGGAGCUGACAAUGCAGAGCACUUUGCAGGAAGAGCUCAGCACAUGCUAGGAUUGGGCUGUGCCUGAAUAAGACAUUCUGUUAAAACAAAAAUUACGAUGAUUAUUUAACUGUUUGUACAAUGGCCAAAAAUAUGGUAGGCAUUUAAAAGAAAAACUACAGUUCUAGCUAUCUGUAAUAUUCCUCAUACUGUAUGAUACUAGAUGAAUGUAUUUCAUUUAAAGAAAAUUAGUAUUAGUUCUUAUUUUUAAUGUUAAUAUAUUAUUUUUAAUAUUUGUAUUAAACCUAAUUUUUUAAUGUAAGAAAAAUAUUUUUAGUAUUAUCUCUCUGUGUUUGUAUAUGUAUGUAUAACUGAACAAUUGUAAUGUAUUCCAUCACUCUUAACUGAAAUUAUUGACAGUGUUAUACAUAUGGAUCAGCUAAGAAAUUAUUAAAUAAAUGAAUAAACAAUAAUAUUUGUAAGAUUCUUGCUGAUACCAAAAUAAUUCAAAAUACCAAUUUAGUUUUAUCUAAAAAAUCAUGCAUAAACAUCAUUUUUCCUUCCUUUCUUCAUUUCCAAAGUACACAUUACUAAAAAUGCUGGAAAGCUGUCAAUUGCUCGAUACUGAAUUGAUUUUGAUGACAUGAUCCUAUUUUCAUUGGCAUUAAUGGUAGUAUUGCCAUUGACAUCAGUGGCAACAGGAUUGGGUCCUACAUUUGUAUUUUCUCCAUUGUGAGAUUAAAAAUAUAUGAGGAUAUGAAUUACAGUAAGCACCAAAUGAAAGCCUUUUUUUACUCUUUUUGUAAUUCUAUUACAAUUCUAUUUUUUACUCCUUUUAUAAUUCUAUUACAUGAAUUCUUUUUACUUUGCUAAUCUUUCAGUACAUGUUUAUAUGUCUUAAUUCCAAAUACAACAGCUGUAGAUUUCCAGCAUGAAAAUUACCUGCAUCUUAACAAUACAUGCAAAUGGUAAUGGAUGUAAUUCAUUAAAAUGAAAAGGAGGCAUGCUGUGCUUGAUAGGAGCAAACUUUUAUUUGUGAACCAAAGGGAGUCUCACUCGGAACAUUUCACUAAUUGAAUUUUAGUAAAAUGUGGCUAUGUAGUAAGUGUCCUUUUAUUAAACAUUUUUUAAUUGCAACUGUGUUACUAAGUUUUCAAAAUUUAAUUGCCAUUCAAAACUUCUGAACACACAUUGUGUUUUAUCCAGCCGUAGUCAUUGUCCUACUGAUUACACAUAGUGUCAUUUGUUUUUAUAAAGUAAACUUAAGAUGGACUAAGUAUUGCUGCUAAAUUAAUUAAAAAUUGUUGAGAUACGUAACAGUUUUGUUCAGUUUUCUUUUGAGGCCCAGGAUCAAGGCAAUGUGCUUACAUUAAUUUUCAACAUUAAUUUUCAUGUCAGUAGCUAUAAAUCAUUGCUUGCUUGUAUAACCUACCUGUUCUUGGUGCCAGGGAGAUCUUUUACCUGUUCCAUUUACUUUGACAUAGCUACCUUUUCACUUUUUAUCUCUGGGUUAAUGCCAAGUCCUUCAUGUUAAUCCCUUUCCAUCUGCAAAUGGUUCAGGUCCAUAGCAGUCUGGCUGGAGCUCAGAACAAAAGUGAAGAAUGACUAUCAGCAUGAGUUGUGGAGUUUCUGUUGCUGUGCAUAUUAAAGGAGACAAAAACAGAGGGGAAGUAUUACAAUUUGUUACUCAAAGGUAGGAUUAUUCAUUACCUGUAGUGCAGAUAAAUAAUUUGGAGAAUCUUUGAGGAGCCUGAGCAAUAAUCUUCACAUCAUAAUUUUUUAUAGAUUAGAAGGUGAUUUUAAAUGUCUUCAUCUUUACUUGUGGGCUGAGUUUCUGGCUUUAUUGAAUUAAUAUGUAUAAGUUACAUCUUUUUUUCCCCACUUGAGCAUAAAAUAACUCUAAGGCCUAUGUAAUACAAAUAUUAGAUUGCAUUAAAGUUUAAAGUUUGGGAGUUUAUAAAGAUAUAUGACCAACAGAUCUUCAUCAGAACCAUUGGUUGAUAUUAUUUAUUAUAGGAUGUUGCUAAACAUUUUUUGAUUGGGACGUUAAUUAUCUGUAUAUAUUUUAUUUUGAAAUGUAAUUAUUUUCACUUUCUAAAAUGCA
Molecule: long non-coding RNA, 6118 nt
Organism: Malaclemys terrapin pileata
Lineage: Eukaryota; Metazoa; Chordata; Testudines; Emydidae
Exons: 6
Source: RefSeq, a predicted model, not a curated record